Molecule: long non-coding RNA, 302 nt
Organism: Mustela erminea (ermine)
Lineage: Eukaryota; Metazoa; Chordata; Mammalia; Carnivora; Mustelidae
Exons: 3
Source: RefSeq, a predicted model, not a curated record
CCCCCACGCAGGGCCCAGGGAAUUCGACCCCUUGCCUUGACUCCUUGACUCGCAGGGCCAGCCAGCCAGAUCUCCCAACAGCCUAUACCCUUCUGUGUCUAUGUAACAGCAUCUCGCCGUACGAGGUAACUAACAGAACUUCCUGGUUUUCACGACUUUACUCUGGUACUUCACCGAGUGGCCCCCGUGUCCUAUGACAUACACAUCCAGCAGAUGCAGAACUUGUUCCUCUCCUGAGUGCCCAGCCAGGCCACGGUGGCCGAGGAGCAGGUGCGGAGCUUGUCGAAGGCUUUGAUUCUCGU